AACUGAUACUACCUGCGGGAACCUGCGGAGGGAUCAUUAUUGAAAUCCUUCCAAGGAUGUUGCUGGUCCUUAGGGACAUGUGCACUCCGCCUUUCUAUACACCUGUGAACUUAUUGUAGGUGCAUCUGUACCUAUGUUUUUAACACACCCCUUUAAAAUGUAUAAUGGAAUGUUGAUGGAUAAUAAUAACAAUACAACUUUCAACAAUGGAUCUCU
Molecule: unclassified non-coding RNA, 216 nt
Filed under: soil metagenome
Description: partial contains 5.8S ribosomal RNA, internal transcribed spacer 2, and large subunit ribosomal RNA
Source: RNAcentral